CAAAAGAUGAUGACAAGGAGUAGUAGUGACGACUUUCGGUAUUAGAGAGCUGGCGGAAGGUGCAAGCCAGUCCGAAAUCCCAUGAACUCGCCUUUGGAAUCGCAGGUGCGAACGCUGGAAGUCAGCAGGUAGUGCCUGCCGCCGAUCCGCGUUAAAGACAUAAAGCAGAGUGCCUAUUAAAAAAGGCACUAAUCUGGGUGGUACCGCGGGAACUAUACUCUCGUCCCAAUU
RNAcentral lists this non-coding RNA (231 nucleotides) under Pseudobacillus badius. RNAcentral describes it as "Bacillus badius T-box sequence". It matches the Rfam family "T-box leader". From Rfam's summary of the family: Uncharged tRNA acts as the effector for transcription antitermination of genes in the T-box leader family. T-boxes are found upstream of many aminoacyl-tRNA synthetase genes and some amino acid biosynthetic genes usually in Gram-positive bacteria. The anticodon of a specific tRNA base pairs to a specifier sequence within the T-box motif, and the NCCA acceptor tail of the tRNA base pairs to a conserved bulge in the T-box antiterminator hairpin. Lineage: Bacteria; Bacillati; Bacillota; Bacilli; Caryophanales; Bacillaceae. The record is from RNAcentral.